GGUGGCUAAAAAGCGAAAAACGACACCACCACAAAAGGAGGAGGAGGAAAUAAAGGCAACGGGAAGGAAUGUUUGGGAGACGCGAAAGCGUGUGCGCGCAGGCUUUCCCGUAUUCCGUUCUUAUUUCUGAAUUAGAAGACAAA
This is a non-coding RNA of Caenorhabditis elegans, 143 nucleotides long. The record is from Ensembl. NCBI's taxonomy places the organism in Eukaryota, Metazoa, Nematoda, Chromadorea, Rhabditida, Rhabditidae.